GAUGAACGCUGGCGGCGUGCCUAACACAUGCAAGUCGAACGAACAGAUGAGGAGCUUGCUCCUCUGACGUUAGCCGCGGGCGUGUGAGAAACACGCGUAUAACCUACCUAUAAUACUGGGAUCGCUUGGGGAAACCGUAGCUAAUACGAUAUAAUAUAUUGAACAGCAGGGUGCAAUAGUGAAAGACGGUUGUGCUGUCACUUGUAGAUGGAGCCGCUCGGCAUUAUCUAGUUGGUAAGGUAACCGCUUACUAAGGCAACUAUGCGUACCCGGCGUGAGAGGGUGAACGGCCAAACUGGAACUGAGAGAAGGUCCAGACUCCUAAGGGAGGGCGCAAUAGGGAAUUUUCGGAAAUGGGCGAAAGCCUGACGGCGCAAAGCCGCGUGGGUGAUGGAGGUCUUCGGAUCGUAAAACUGUGUUAUUAGGGAACAAAAAGUCUGUAAGUAACUAUGCAGGUCUUGAGGGUAACCGAUAAAAAAGCCACGGCUAACUACGUG
Molecule: ribosomal RNA, 497 nt
Filed under: uncultured bacterium
Lineage: Bacteria
Description: partial 16S ribosomal RNA
Rfam family: Bacterial small subunit ribosomal RNA
Source: RNAcentral